UCCUCGGACCUUGCUUCCCUCCUCCUUUCUCACUGUAGAGAAACAGGAAGGGAUGUUUAUUAAUAAGACUGACUGGGGUCACACCCAAGGCAAUAUCAGAUAUUUACCUCUCCUGGGCUUGGGAAGAGGUUCAAGGAUCAACAACAAGUU
Equus caballus (horse) is the source of this 150-nucleotide non-coding RNA. The record is from Rfam. Lineage: Eukaryota; Metazoa; Chordata; Mammalia; Perissodactyla; Equidae.